GGCCCGGUAGCUCAAUUGGAUAGAGCACUAGCCUCCGAAGCUAGAGGUUUCGGACUCGGAUUCCGAUCGGGCCA
RNAcentral lists this transfer RNA (74 nucleotides) under Bifidobacterium myosotis. Its description in RNAcentral is "tRNA-Arg". It matches the Rfam family "tRNA". Rfam says of the family: Transfer RNA (tRNA) molecules are approximately 80 nucleotides in length. Their secondary structure includes four short double-helical elements and three loops (D, anti-codon, and T loops). Lineage: Bacteria; Bacillati; Actinomycetota; Actinomycetes; Bifidobacteriales; Bifidobacteriaceae. The record is from RNAcentral.